This 113-nucleotide transfer RNA is filed under the name Trichoderma longibrachiatum ATCC 18648. It matches the Rfam family "tRNA". From Rfam's summary of the family: Transfer RNA (tRNA) molecules are approximately 80 nucleotides in length. Their secondary structure includes four short double-helical elements and three loops (D, anti-codon, and T loops). Further hydrogen bonds mediate the characteristic L-shaped molecular structure. tRNAs have two regions of fundamental functional importance: the anti-codon, which is responsible for specific mRNA codon recognition, and the 3' end, to which the tRNAs corresponding amino acid is attached (by aminoacyl-tRNA synthetases). tRNAs cope with the degeneracy of the genetic code in two manners: having more than one tRNA (with a specific anti-codon) for a particular amino acid; and 'wobble' base-pairing, i.e. permitting non-standard base-pairing at the 3rd anti-codon position. Lineage: Eukaryota; Fungi; Ascomycota; Sordariomycetes; Hypocreales; Hypocreaceae. RNAcentral also lists the same sequence under 1 other name. The record is from Rfam by way of RNAcentral.
GGCACUUUGGCCGAGCGGUCUAAGGCGCCGUGUUCAGGAAUUGUUCGCACUGUUCGAACAUUAGCCUCUUCGCGGUCUAGAAAUAGGCGAGGGUUCGAAUCCCUCAGGUGUCA